GCCAAUACUUUUAGCCAGCACUGUAUAUACAUCACAUAUGGUCUAUGAUUAAAAUAUUUUCCUUUCUUCUAUUUUUUGUAGGAAACUGAUCCUAAUGGUACUCUCUCCUGUGUGUACUGGAAGAACACUGAAUGGGCUGUAGNUGGGUGUUAUCUUGUCGAGACCAACAGUAGUCACACCGUGUGCUCCUGUGUUCACCUGUCUACCUUCGCUCUCAUCAUGCAGACCAAACCCUCAGCAGAAACAAGUGACCCUCUUCUGGAUCUGCUCAGCACUGUACUGGUAUCAGUGGGGCUGGUGUUCCUCAGCUUGACUCUGUUGACCUUUGCCGUUUGUCGUCGACACCUGAGGAUGAACAACACUCCCAGAAUAAACCUGUGUAUCAGUCUUCUGCUGGCUCACCUGACCUUCCUCCUCACUCAGAAAUUCAUACACUACAUCCAGCCAUUAGAGGUAACCAGUGUCUGUCUGUCUGUCUAUCGGUCAUCUGCGUUGUUUACUCUUGGUGGUGUUGGGUCUCCACUCAAGAGUUAUUGUGUUAUGGUAGAACCACUGCUUUUCUGGCAGUUUUUGUUGAUCUCCUUUGUUCUAAAUAAAUAAAGCUUAGAUAAGGUAAAAAAAAAGAAGUAAUGUAUUCUGUGGUAUAGCUCACAUUUUAUAAUGUUCUAUAGGUAC
RNAcentral lists this long non-coding RNA (675 nucleotides) under Astyanax mexicanus (Mexican tetra). Its description in RNAcentral is "lncRNA (ENSAMXG00005001212.1)". The record is from RNAcentral. Lineage: Eukaryota; Metazoa; Chordata; Actinopteri; Characiformes; Acestrorhamphidae.